UACUCGCGGCUGGGUUCGAGCUUCAGUGGGUCAGAAGACUCCAACGACAGAGGCUGCCAGUGUGCUUUGCUUCAGAGCGUCACUCCAGAGGCCCAGUCUUCUCCUGGUCUUGCAUAUCGAGCUGCGGGGACUCCAGAUUCCAGAUCAACCCUUUUAAGUUUUAUUUGGUUCUUGAUGAGGUUAAAUAAUAAUGGAAAUCGGGUGCACUGAUCGAUGUCAUUAAUGGACCUGAAGCCAAGACCAGUAAGGUCCAGUUAAAGGCUUUGCCUCCAAAGGAUCCUGCAAAACGUAAAGAGUUGUUAUGACCAUUGGAGGCCGAGUUCCCAUCAGCUAGCCAAGGUCUACACUGAAGACCUGCCACACUCUCUGUGACUGAGCUGUGACUGGACGGCACCUUCUGGGGAAAAGUGGGUCCUCGGACUUUUGAAACUGACUGAACCAAGGAGUUGAGAGGACAGCCUGGAAGGGAGAAGAGAGAAUGAAAGAAGACAAGAGAAAGGAGGAGGGCAGAAAGAGCAUAGAGGAAGAGGGAAAAUUAUACCAAGAGGCUGAUUCUCACAAGGAAGCCAGAACUGUUGCUGAGGAUGUGUGAAUUAGAGGAUCGCAGCAAAUCUGGCACCAAAGUGACUGAACUCAUCGAGCCCUGCGAUGACUACUAAAAGUCCUUUGUGAAGUUCCCCAUGGCCUUCCGGAUGCAGUCAAAUGCUUGACGUGGUGCUCAAGGCUCCCCUCCGCUGCAGCCUCCGCUUCACACUGCAAUGUCACCUCCGCAGUCCUCCUCUGCAGCCUCAGCACCACCAGGAACUCGCAGCUCUAAGCUCCAGCUCAACACGGUGGUGAGUGACACACCACCCCGACCUUCAGGACAUGUGCCAUAGAAAGCAAGGCGAUCACAGUGCAGAGAAAGAAGUCGCAGGAUUGUGACGUCCUUGUUGUUAGGGGGAUUCGUGGGAAGGACACCUACGUAGGAUUUAGGAGAUCAGUGAGAACUUCCCGAAGGAGUGAUAGCUAAGCAAAGAGCUAGAUGAUCAAAGGGAUCCAGAGGGGCAGGAGAUAGUUUUUAGCAAAAGAAAUGGAAUGUGCCAAGGAAGGGGGAAAGUAAGUAGCAGGAAUUCAGACAAUGAGGGAAGAAGGGGAGGCUGAUGGGGUGGUGAAUUCUACAGUUUGGCCUGAAAUGUCCCCAGAAGUGCCAUGUGCUAAAGGCUUGGUCCCAGCUUGGUCUGUUGGGAGGUGCUGAAAACAUCAAGAGGUAGGACCUCAUGGGAGGUUCCCCAGACACUGGGGGUAUGCCCUUGAUGGGGACAGUGAGGUCUCAGACCCUUCCUCUUUCUCUCCUUUGUUCCCAAUCAUGAGGUGAACAGAUUUCCUUCACCACAUGCAUCUCCUUUGAUGUUCUGUCUCAGCGGGUCAACUGACCAUGGAAUAAAACAACCCGAAUAAACCUUUCCUCCUUUCAAA
Ictidomys tridecemlineatus (thirteen-lined ground squirrel) is the source of this 1458-nucleotide long non-coding RNA. RefSeq lists it as uncharacterized. Lineage: Eukaryota; Metazoa; Chordata; Mammalia; Rodentia; Sciuridae. The record is from RefSeq and is a predicted model, not a curated record.